This 253-nucleotide ribosomal RNA is filed under the name uncultured bacterium. RNAcentral's name for it is "partial 16S ribosomal RNA". It matches the Rfam family "Bacterial small subunit ribosomal RNA", at positions 524 to 776 of the family's 1533-position model. The record is from RNAcentral.
UACAGAGGUGGCAAGCGUUGUUCGGAAUUACUGGGCGUAAAGGGCGCGUAGGCGGUCUUGUAAGUCUUGUGUGAAAUCCCUCGGCUUAACUGAGGAACUGCACGGGAUACUGCGAGACUUGAGUUCGGGAGAGGGAAGCGGAAUUCCGGGUGUAGCGGUGAAAUGCGUAGAUAUCGUGAGGAAGACCAGUGGCGAAGGCGGAUCUCUGGACAGUUCCUGACGCUGAGGCGCGAAGGCCAGGGGAGCAAACGGG